Molecule: non-coding RNA, 27 nt
Filed under: Rattus norvegicus (Norway rat)
Lineage: Eukaryota; Metazoa; Chordata; Mammalia; Rodentia; Muridae
Source: RNAcentral
ACCAGAAUACUGCUAUUCCUGGGUAAC